Molecule: transfer RNA, 72 nt
Filed under: Diaphorina citri (Asian citrus psyllid)
Lineage: Eukaryota; Metazoa; Arthropoda; Insecta; Hemiptera; Psyllidae
Rfam family: tRNA
About the family: Transfer RNA (tRNA) molecules are approximately 80 nucleotides in length. Their secondary structure includes four short double-helical elements and three loops (D, anti-codon, and T loops).
Source: Rfam by way of RNAcentral
GCCUAGUUAGCUUAGUUGGUAGUGCGUCUGCCUUGUAAGCGCUAGGCCGCGGGUUCCAUUCCCGCCCGGGCA